This 198-nucleotide ribosomal RNA is filed under the name uncultured bacterium. RNAcentral describes it as "partial 16S ribosomal RNA". It matches the Rfam family "Bacterial small subunit ribosomal RNA", at positions 328 to 539 of the family's 1533-position model. The record is from RNAcentral.
ACGCUCGACACCUACGGGGGGCAGCAGUGGGGAAUAUUGCACAAUGGGGGAAACCCUGAUGCAGCGACGCCGCGUGAGCGAAGAAGUAUUUCGGUAUGUAAAGCUCUAUCAGCAGGGAAGAAAAUGACGGUACCUGACUAAGAAGCCCCGGCUAACUACGUGCCAGUAGCCGCGGUAAUCUGAGCGGGCUGGCAAGGC